CGCGGCCUAUCAGCUUGUUGGUGGGGUAGUGGCCUACCAAGGCGACGACGGGUAGCCGGCCUGAGAGGGCGACCGGCCACACUGGGACUGAGACACGGCCCAGACUCCUACGGGAGGCAGCAGUGGGGAAUAUUGCACAAUGGGGGGAACCCUGAUGCAGCGACGCCGCGUGCGGGAUGACGGCCUUCGGGUUGUAAACCGCUUUCAGCAGGGACGAAUCUGACGGUACCUGCAGAAGAAGCGCCGGCUAACUACGUGCCAGCAGCCGCGGUAAUACGUAGGGCGCAAGCGUUGUCCGGAAUUAUUGGGCGUAAAGAGCUCGUAGGCGGCUUGUCGCGUCGGACGUGAAAGCUCGAGGCUUAACCUCGGGUCUGCGUUCGAUACGGGCAGGCUAGAGGCAGGUAGGGGAGAACGGAAUUCCCGGUGUAGCGGUGAAAUGCGCAGAUAUCGGGAGGAACACCGGUGGCGAAGGCGGUUCUCUGGGCCUGUACUGACGCUGAGGAGCGAAAGCGUGGGGAGCGAACAGGAUUAGAUACCCUGGUAGUCCACGCCGUAAACGUUGGGCGCUAGGUGUGGGGACCUUCCACGGUUUCCGCGCCGCAGCUAACGCAUUAAGCGCCCCGCCUGGGGAGUACGGA
Molecule: ribosomal RNA, 638 nt
Filed under: uncultured Actinoplanes sp.
Lineage: Bacteria; Bacillati; Actinomycetota; Actinomycetes; Micromonosporales; Micromonosporaceae
Description: bacterial SSU rRNA
Rfam family: Bacterial small subunit ribosomal RNA
Source: RNAcentral